RNAcentral lists this microRNA (21 nucleotides) under Callithrix jacchus (white-tufted-ear marmoset). RNAcentral's name for it is "cja-miR-5191". Lineage: Eukaryota; Metazoa; Chordata; Mammalia; Primates; Cebidae. The record is from miRBase by way of RNAcentral.
AAGACAGGAAGAAUGAAGUGC